CCUACGGGCGGCAGCAGUGGGGAAUAUUGGACAAUGGGCGAAAGCCUGAUCCAGCCAUGCCGCGUGUGUGAAGAAGGUCUUCGGAUUGUAAAGCACUUUAAGUUGGGAGGAAGGGCAGUCAGCGAAUACCUGGUUGUUUUGACGUUACCGACAGAAUAAGCACCGGCUAACUCUGUGCCAGCAGCCGCGGUAAUACAGAGGGUGCAAGCGUUAAUCGGAAUUACUGGGCGUAAAGCGCGCGUAGGUGGUUUGUCAAGUUGGAUGUGAAAGCCCCGGGCUC
Molecule: ribosomal RNA, 280 nt
Filed under: uncultured bacterium
Lineage: Bacteria
Description: partial 16S ribosomal RNA
Rfam family: Bacterial small subunit ribosomal RNA
Source: RNAcentral